GAUAGGAUAGGGUGUAUUGGUAGCACGGAGAAUUUUGAAUUCUUAGGUGUAGGUUCAAUUCCUAUUGUCCUAG
Molecule: transfer RNA, 73 nt
Filed under: Rattus exulans (Polynesian rat)
Lineage: Eukaryota; Metazoa; Chordata; Mammalia; Rodentia; Muridae
Description: tRNA-Gln
Rfam family: tRNA
About the family: Transfer RNA (tRNA) molecules are approximately 80 nucleotides in length. Their secondary structure includes four short double-helical elements and three loops (D, anti-codon, and T loops).
Source: RNAcentral